CAAGCGGUUCCUUAUUCAUGUGACACAAGCAGGAACGAAUGUCAUCGAGGAAAAACGACGUGUGUGGAAUGAACUGCAGUAGAAUAGGCUUUAUGUUAGCUAGCUUGUAUAUUUUAUGUCUGAAUUUGAUCAGAUAGCAAGUGUGAACAACAUGAUGAUUGAUAAUGGAAGAUCGAAUGUGGUCGUCGACAUUAUUUUUAGCCAAAUGAGCUUGGCUGGAGAUGAUCAUGGGACGAUACACUAAUUGUGCUCAAUAGCUUUUGUACAUCUCAGAGGCAGAGGAUGAGCAUGGAGAAGAGCUGUCAGAAGAUGAAGAGACUGAAGAGGAGGAUGGACCGAUCGAUGAAGAAGCCCAACUUAAGGCAAGCAUGGGACUGCCUGUGGAGUUCAUAACUUCAUCUGCACAGAAAAGAGCUGUACGUAGUAGCAAGUAAACAUUGCCUAUGUCUGUCCGUCACCAUAGAGUCCACCUAAAAGAAAGAAAAAAGAUAAUGUUGCUCCGAUGCUCUCUCUCUUGAAGGGGAGAAAGUUGAUGAGGAAGAAUGCCAUCCACUGGGAAGCAGCUCCUGAGAAUCUGCAUGAAGAAGAUCCACAUUCACUCCAGGUGGAGAAGAAUGAUCCCACUGUUGAAAGCACCAAGGCUGCGUUUGAUUUGAUCUCAGUGAGGGGCCAGGAGGAAAAGCAGAACCUCCACUCUCCCAGGCAAAAGUAGUGCACUAUAUAGGGAAUUGGGUGCCAUUUGGGACACAUCCUGUGACAACAAAGACAGGAGACAAAAACUAAUAUGUACCACUUUGGAAUCGAUUGCCACUUGUGCAAAGCCCUUUCUCUUCCCCCAGAGCAGUGGAUAGGUCUCGUCACUGAGGAGGGCUUCCCUCACGCCUCCAGGUGAGAUGCCCAGAAGGUGGCCACUUUUUAGGGCCUUCACACACUCCUCCUGGGGCCCGUGGAUGACACUGAACACCUCCAACAGCAGCUUGAACCCUACAGAGAACAAGAAAAGGUCCUGCUUUUAGGGUCUAAGUAGCUCAUGUAGUAAGAAUGGACUACGGCAGCUGUAGGCUAUACACUUUACUGAUCAACUAGAUACAGAGGGCUGAAUGUAACAUCUCACUUUUAGAUUUAGAUACUGGGAAAUGGAACUGUGAAGAUCUUACCUGGAACUUUGAACAGAAAGUAAUCAGCAACUGAGUGAACAAUCCGUCCCUUUUGAAUGAUGACCUUUGCCAGAAAGUAAUAAUAGUCAAUGGGAAUAGCCCCAUGAUAAUAGACUAUAAGAGCUGCUCCUUCAUCUGGAAUCUUCUCCAUACCAUGGAUUUCAUAUCCUGUUUUGAAAUAGAGACAUUUAUAUAAGCAUUGGCAAUAGUCAUUGACUAAUCAAGCAGCGCACUCAUUGAAACAGAGCCGAUGGAGAGCCGACUCCCUGUCGUGACCCAGGAGAGUCAGAGUUUGGAGGAAGACUGAAGUGAAGUCAGGUGGGCACUAGUGAAGUGAUCGAUCUGAUUGGGCAGACUUUUGUCAGUGGUAGCUGGGCAGUGUGAUUAGGGCCAACAGCAAGCAGACCAUGUCAGUGGUAAUGAUGAUAAACCUUGUGAUGGUGGUAAUCACAAAAGAGCUGCCUCCUCAAACACCAAGUCCACUGAGUCAAGAGGACCAUGUGACACAGGCCCACGCAUUUGUAAUGGCUCUUCUUGUCGUAGAGAACAGUGGCGCGCACCACUGCCUGACUCGACGUCUCCCUCUCCUCUGGGAUUUUCCAUCCUGUCCGUGACUGAUCCCAUACAACACAACACUGCCCUCAUUUAUAUGGCAUAGUAUAUCUGUUUUAUCUGGCUUUGUAGCAAUGUUUUAUAUCACAUGCCAACUUCCUUUUCCCUGUUUUAUCCUUUUGAUCAGAAAACAUGAAUGUAGAGUGUAAUGUUGAAGGGAUGAAUGAAUGUACACGUUUCUUCCCUCCAGACACAGGAUGGGUGUUCCCAGAAAAAUAACAAUGGAUUGAGUGAGAGAAGAGCAUCUAAUAAUGAAGGUGACGAUGGUGAUCAAAUGCCACAUAGAAGAAUUGCAAAAGUAAAGCGGAGUCAUGAACUGGAUGUGGAGGAGAACCCUCAGAUGUCUGUAGAGGAAGCCUGGGAUAAACUGGGAUUAAAGCGCAGCCACGACCCCAUGUUUGAGAGUGUGCUGAAGUUUAAGCCCCAGUCACCACCAGGGUGGGAAGGUUGGGAGGAAUAGGAAGCUACAUGGAGGUAGGAGAGCAUCCGGCCACAUCAACAAGCACACCUUCUUUACUGAAGAGGGAGAUGCCACAGAGCCCAAGCUGAGCAAGACCUUUCAAAAAAUCACUCACUCAUGUCCUGAUCUGUCUUCAGGUUCAGAGAUUCCUCCAGAAAGUUCAGAAAGAUAAUGACACAGCUGUCCCAGACACACCGGUUGACCAGGCAAACGGAGGGAGCCCUGCUUGUCCAUUUGCAGAGGGAAAAGAAGAAAGACUGGAGGAAGAGGAGCAGGAAGAUGGGAGGGGGGAAUACCCCUCUGGAGUUGGAUAGUACUGAGCAACCCUCUCAUCAGAACCUCUUCACCAGAAUAGAAGAUGAGGAGGAAGAGGAUGAUGAGAUUAAAUUCAGAAGAGAGGUGUACUCACUGGACAUACCAGACUACUUAGUUCCCGGAGCACCUGAACACAAUAACACAGAGGCCACUGGGAAGAAAAACAAGAACAAGAAUACCAAGAAAAGAGGGAAAUGUGGAGUGAUGCCAGCUGAGAUUGCAGUGCUGGCUAAGUACUGGGCCCGAGCUGGCUAAGUACUGGGCCCGAGCUGGCUAAGUACUGAGCCCGAGCUGGCUAAGUACUGGGCCCAGUGCUAACGCCUCUUCUCCAGGUUCGAUGAGGGCAUCAAAUUGGAUCAAGUUGAGUCGCAGAGCAAACAGAACACACACACACACUUCAGGAAACACAACCAAUUUCUUCAUAUUGGCUCAAGCAGAAAGGGUUAGUCGUAUUUUGGAACGACUUUACGUUAUUAUUGUUGUUAACGUGUUAAUAUUCCUCUAGUUUGAGAACAACUAUUGUAGUCUCCCAACCACUUCUAUUCAUGCAGCCCAAAUGGAGUGUUGUCAAAUGUGAUUCAGGAAUGCACUUUAUUCUGAAAAGAAAUGGAUUUGCCUCAAGGUUACUGAAUGUUAUCUUUCUCUCCAGUUGAGAAACGGCUGGCUGUUAUGUCCAAGGUAAAAGCUACAGUUUUGCUGCUCUUGAAGUCUAACAUCAUGUUGUUUUCAGAGAGGCAGGGAGGUUGAGAUGGUGGUGUAGUGGGUGCAUGGAUUUGCUGGCUGGCAGACAGGGCACUCCGCUUCCUGUCUGUAGGGAGAAGUGCUGACGCCAGUGAAGCACACCUUACAUUUCACCCUGUGUCACAUGACAUGACAGCAUCAGGCUCUCGCUCCCUGUCUCCCGGCAGAGCAACUCUUUCAUGACUCUCGAGUCUCUCCUUUCCUUUCCUUUACUCUCUCUCCCUUGCAGCUGAAACGGGUGUCACGGAUUCUGUUCCGAGUGCAUCUGCCCACCUGUCUGUUUCUCCUCCCCGGGAGCUGUGCUCAAUUUGUCUCUUCUUUCCCUUGGUUAAUUGUUUGCAGGAAAUAUUUCAAUAUAACAGUCCUAGUGAGUACACAAUCGUAAAAUUUUUUUGGGGGGGGUGUAUCUACCGACGGCCUGUACAGACCCAGAAAGAUACAUCCGUUGUUUUACUCUGCCUGUAAACACGCUGGAUGAUUCAGAAUCCAUUGAAGAGCUUGAACGAUUCAUUGACGAGAGAUACUUAUGAACUCAAAGAAAAAUUGUCGCUGGUUUCUGAGGAUUCAAGCGCUUGUUAAGGACAACAAACCCAAUCAACAAACCAAAGCCAAGUUGGCCAAGCAGUAUCAACGAUGGCAUAAAACCAUCCCCAAGCAAGAGGGCGCGUGUGGAGAGCGGGGAGAGGUUUACGGAUAUGGAUGUUGACUUGUUGAUAUCCAUCAAUGAAAGGCUUGCCAAACUUGAUAUCUUGGAUGUACUACGAGAGGACAUCAAUACAUUAUGUGACAGUCUAGAAUUCAGCCAACGUCAGAUUGAUGAUCUAAGGAAAGAGAACACGGAGCUGAAAGGUACUGUAGACUCUUCAUGGCAAGGUGGAGGUGGUGCAAAGGGAGAACAAACAACUUAAAGAAACCUUGCUUGAUGUACAGUGUCGAUCAAUACGGGACAAACUAAUAUUUUCAGGGAUACCAGAGAAUGACAACAGCAGAAGCUGUGAGGACACAGUCCGAGACUUUAUGUCGACUCAACUAAAACUGCCCACUGAUGUUGUGUGUAAUGUCACUGUCUCCAGAGUCCAUAGAAUGAGUAAGGCCUCUGGAAAAAAGGCCACGGGCUAUUGCAUGUUUUGAACAUUGUAAGCAAAAGGAAAUGGUGAAGAGCUGGGCAGAGAACUCAGAAACACAGAUUUUGGAAUGAAUGAUCACUUCCCCACGGAUAUCCCAUCACGAAGGAAAAGCGUUGCCGGAAUCAACGAGUCUCCUUGGUGAUGGAUAAACUUUGUAUCAACAGGCAACUGUAUCGGGACUCUAGAGUAACUCCCAGGCUAUUUUAAUCCAACUGUAUCGGGACUCUAGAGUAACUCCCUGGCUAUUUUAAUCUAACUGUAUCGGGACUCUAGAGUAACUCCCUGGCUAUUUUAAUCCAUUGUUUAAAUCCGAGUUUGUGUGUUGUAGUGUAUCAUGACAACUUCAACUAUAACGAAUACAUGAUCUAUUGAUCUUCACUUGACAAGGAAAGGGCUGCAUAUAGCUCAGGUUAAUGUAUGUAGCCUUCCUAACAAAAUACAUGAGGUUUUUAACUUGGUCAAGAUAAAUAAUAUUCAUAUUAUAGCUUUGACCGAAACGCAUUUGGAUGCAUUUGUAAAUGAUGGGAAAAUGAACAUCCAUGGAUAUAGUCUACUGAGAAGGGACAGGAAUAGGAAUGGUAGGGGUAUAGCACUGUACAUUCAGAAUCAUAUACCUUUUAAGAGGAAGAAUGACCUUAAUGUAUGUCAAGUAGAGGCACUAUGGGCUCAGGAUCAUCUGCCUCACCAGGCACCCAUAUUGGUAGGAUGUGUGUAUAGACCUCCGAGCUCUAAGGUGUCCUAUCUGGAUGACUUACGCACUGGGUUUGACCAGGCCACAAAUAGUAACAGAGAUGUAUUUAUCUUGGGUGAUUUUAAUAUAUAUUGGAAGGAUCAUAAGAAUUCAAAUAUAACCAAAUUUAAUGAUAUAUUCCGAGAGCUGUGGUUUGAAACAAAUGAUUCAUUAUACUACUAGAUCAUCAACUAAGUUAGGUCACCGUUCGGACACAUGCAUUGAUCUGAUAUUCUGUAAUAUACUAUUGCAAUGCUUAAAAGCCAGAUCAAUGCCAGUGGGCUGGACAGACCAUAAUAUUGUGACCAUAACUAUGGUCAAGAGAAAUUUUUAAACAUUUAAUCAUGAGCUAUUUCAAAAUGAUUUGGCCACUGUACCCUGGGAGCUGAUUUAUCUAGAGGAUGAUUUAAAUCACGCUACAGAAUGUUUUAUUGAUUUGCUCACUGAGGUAAUGGACCAUCAUGCCCCAGUAAGAAAGAGUACUGUUGGGGCUCGUCUAUCUCUAUGGAUUGAUGAAUAACUGGCUGAGGCAUUCUCUCAAAUAAUAUGGCAAAAGUCUUAGCAGCCAAAUCUAAACUACAAAUUGAUUAACAGAAUUAUAGAAUACUACGUAAUUAUGCAGUUUAUUUAAAUCGUAAGGGGAAAAAAAUGUUAUUUUACAAAAAAUAUUUGAUUGUAAAAAAUGAUUGUAAAAAGGUAUGGAAUACAGUUAAGGUCCUGCUUAGAACAUCUAUCUCAUCAUAUCCAUCUAGUGCGGAGGUUGACGGGAGAACAAUAACAAAACCAGCUGACAUUGGCAAUUAUUUAUUUUUUUACAAAGAAAAUGAAUUUACUGAGCAAAAAUGUAAACACACAUUCUCCCAAACAAGCAAUUGUCCAAUGGAUUGAUGAUCAUAUCACGAGCAAAAACACCUGCUCUUUUAGUCUACAAAUGGUGUCAGUAGAGGAGGUGUUAAACCUAUUGAAGUCAUUAUCCGAUGGUAAAUCUACAGGUUAUGGACAAAUUUUUUACUUCGCUAUGCUGCUCCCCAGAUUGCAGCUCCACUGAAAUAUAUAUUUAGUUGGUAACUGGAAAAGGGGACAUUUACAAAUGUAUGGAAGCAUGCUAAACUGUGUCCAAUCCCGAAAGACAGCAAAGAACCCAUUACUCCUGCCAAUAGUCUACUCCCUUCACUCAGUAAGAUAUUGGAGGGUAUUGUGAGUAGACAAAUAUGGGAGUACAUGGAAAAUAAUGAUCUGAUUACAGCCAAUAAGCAUGCUAAUUGCAAAAAAAGUUCCACUGCAUUGGUUGACAUGACUGACCAGUGGCUUAAUGCUAUGGAUAAUGUCAGGUUUGUGGGUGUACUAUUUUUAGAUUUUAGUGCAGCAUUUGAUUUAGUGGAUCAUGAAAUAAUUCUGACAGAAUUAUCGCAUUAUGUUUUUAAGGAGGCAGCAUGGAAUUGGGUACAGUAAUAUCUAACUGACAGGAAACAGUCCACCUAUAUCAAUGGGUUGUUUUCUUCACCUCAUGCUUUAAACUGUGGAAUACCGCAGGGCAGCUGCCUUGGGACCCUUCUUUACUGAAUAUAUACCAACGACCUUUCUUAUGCCUUAUCUGAAACUCAACCUACUAUAUUUCCAGAUAAUGCUACAAUUUAUACAGCAGGACAAUUGGUUCAACAGGUACAGCAAGCUCUACAAGUAGAUCUGGGAAAUAUCAGGGAGUGGGUUUGCCUGAACAAACUUGUUUUGAACACCAAUAAAACCAAGGUAUGCAUGAUCAGAAAGAUUGCUGAAUAAUCUUUCCUGGUAAAUAUUUAGCUAACAACCCAAGCAUUAAUUGGGAGUCAGGUAAACUACUGUUCUGUGGUCUGUGGAAAUGCAUCAGCAAAUGAAUUUAGGAGGCUGCAGAUUGAACAGAACAAAGCAGCAAGGAUUGUUUUAAGGUGGAGAUAUGGUUCUUCUGUUGGAGUCAUGCUCAAUGCUAUUGGUUGGUCAUCAAUCAACAAGAUAAUUGAAAAAAAACAUGCUUAUUUUAUUUCACAAUGUGCACCAUUUAAAACAGCCAAACUCUAUUCACAACAGUAUUCAGUUGGUAAGAGACAGACAUUCAGUAAAUACUAGGAAUAGAUUGUCAUCUGUGUUAUCCAGACAGAAAAGAGAAAUAGGCAAAAUAACAUUUCGAUUUAGAGCAAUAAAGAAAUUGAAUAAUUUAUCUGAGAAAACCAGAAACAUUUCGAUAUAUAAAUUCAUACAAUACUUUAGAACCAUUUUAAAUAUAAUAAAUUGGAAGGUUGUGCGGGACUAUGGUAGAUGAAGGAAUCACUCUAUCUUUUCAGACUGUUAGAGUAUUUAUCUGGUCAAUAUGUCAGUGUAUUAUGUCUGUUUGUAACAGUGUGUUAUAUGUGAAAAUGUGAUCGUAUUAUAAAUUGUGCUUUAAUGUUUAAGGACUCUUGGAAGAUUAGUCCAAAUCAGGACUAAAAGAGAUCCUAAUCAAAAUCAAAUAUCUCUCUCUCCCAACAAAAAGAGCAGAGACUGUAGCAGAAAUAAAAGCAACCUUGUACUCUAGAAUGGCAAAUAUUCAUACUGCUAGUUUGGGUUGGGCGGUAUCAGAUUUUCAUACUAUUUCUGUACCAUUCCAGGGAAUACGGCAUUACCGGAAGUGCACACAAGGGGCACUAUUUCACCAAAACAAAAAAACAAUUAUGUCUAUUGUAACCAAGAAUCUUUAUCUUGACAUUUAGCUAGAAGGUUAGCAAACCAAAUGCAUAGCUGGAGCCCUGAGCUGGAUAUCAUUUAUUUGACACAUCUUAGAUUUCUUAUAUUCAUACUUAUAGUUGUAAGCAGAGGCAUAGCAUCCCGCCUACUGUUAGUAGGGUUAUAAAAGUUUUUUUUUAAAAGCUCAGUUUAUACCUCACUGACGGCCUUCUCCAACCUAUUUCUGGGAAAGAGUUUAUCUGUUAUCAGAGGGCCUAUCUCAUCCUUCCGAAUCUCCCUAUUCUCCAAAGUAUUAUGACUAAUAUGUCUUUAGUCUACCUAGCUCAAAUAAGAAGUCUUUCACAGAGCAUUCUGAAUUCUGUUUGAAAACGAGAUCAGAGCCUUCAUAACUAUUCAGUUAUUCAUGUCAACAGAGAAGAGCCUGGAUACAUACCGUAGCAUGGCUGAAACCCACUGCAGAUUACACCUACUCCUAUCAGAAUCCUAUGGUGUCUAUUGCUCAAUUAAGACAUGGGGGUAAAGUCUGAGAAAGUGCCUGUACAGCUUCAUCAUGUGUAGCAGUGCCUGGCUAAUGAUAGAUAGCAGAUUGUGAAGAGGGGUAGUCUAGUCUUCUGGGACUGAAGUGAUGUAGCUCGGUUUUAAAACUUCCGACAUGAUGUUGGCUUCCCUUCAAGAUCUGUUUGAGAAUACAACGCUAACUAGUCGCCCAUAGACAUAGUUGCCAGUAGACAUUAGGGGAAUGCAUAAGCUCAAUAUUUUGUUUGGACCCUCCCUUGAGCCCCAGUAAAGUUAGCACUGGAAAAUCUGUCCUCUCCUCAGUCACUUUUCUCAGAAUGGAGGGAAGGAAGGCAUAAUAAAAGAGUGUGAGAGAUGUGAAGCGCUAAAAGAGUAGAGACCACUCCCAUCAUUGUUUGCCUUAACAGGUGUUUAUUCUCUGAGGAGGCUGUGAAAACAAGCAGCGGAACAGAAAACAGCAAUGACUGCUAGACUCAGUUAGAGAAUGAUGGCAGAUGGUCUAGGGGUCUCCGAGGGGAGACAGGAGGACGUGGUCUAUGAAGCAUCCCAGUCUCUCCACAUAGUCUAAUAUAUCUCAAUAUCCACAGCAUACUUCUUGAAUACUUUUUGUGUUGUCUUGUCUAUACAAGAGAUGAUUAUACUAUUAUAAUCAUAACUAGGCUUUUCCCGGUGUGAUGGCAAACCCACAUCUACUUUAUAUUCCAUCAGGCCUAAUAUUAGUAUUUUGCCUGCAGUAAAAUGUUGUGAAUGACAGCUGUUUUGAAAUGUAACUGUCACUGAUAGUGUUUUGGUGAAGUUGUGCAUGGCACUAGCAUGACUUCAUGAGCCCACAAAAUAAAUCAAUUAGAUUAUAUAUUAUAUUUCUGGACUUGGUUUGAAUAUCAGAAUGGCAGUUUGAACAAAACCAUUUGACACUUGUCUGACCCCUAGUGGCUAUGCUUUGCAUUGGGGACACCUACAGUAUUUCUCUUUGCAAAACCCCCCAAAUCAGAUAAAUUAGGAUUUAUUAAAAUGUGAGUAUUAAAAUGCACUUAAUUUGCCUUGUAUUAUAGUAAAAUGACAGAAAUUAGAAUAUAUAUUAAUUGUAUCUUUGUAUUCAGUUUGUUAAAGCCUUUUACUCCUGUCUGUCUGAACAGAGGGCUGGUUCUCCGUCACCCCAGAGAAGAUAGCCGACCACAUUGACCUGAGGGUCCAGUACAGUUUCCACUCAUAGACACCUUCUGUGGAGUGGGAGGAAAUGCCAUCCAGUUUGCCCUCAAUGUGAAGAGAGUGCUAGCCAUUGACAUUGACCCAGUGCGUCUGGCCCUGGCCCAGCACCACGCCCAGGUCUACGAGGUGGCUGAGCGCAUCGACUUUGUGCAGGGAGACUUCCUAAAGCUGGCACCACGUCUUAGGGGGGAUGUGGUGUUCAGACUACCUCAGCGCAGACGUCUUCAAUAUCAAGAGCAUGAUGGCUCC
Non-coding RNA from Salmo salar (Atlantic salmon), 9813 nucleotides. NCBI's taxonomy places the organism in Eukaryota, Metazoa, Chordata, Actinopteri, Salmoniformes, Salmonidae. The record is from RefSeq and is a predicted model, not a curated record.